Molecule: long non-coding RNA, 6282 nt
Filed under: Mytilus galloprovincialis (Mediterranean mussel)
Lineage: Eukaryota; Metazoa; Mollusca; Bivalvia; Mytilida; Mytilidae
Source: RNAcentral
CUUCCUUCUUCAAUGUAGGUAAAUAUUCAUUUAUAUCAAAUUGAUAGGUUAGCUUCAGGUGUUAAUUGAAACAUGGAAAAUAUUGUGUUAUUGUCGUCAUUAUUUGGUAAGUUUAUUAAUGAACAUAUUCAUUUAGUUUCACAUUCAAACUGUAAACGUAAAAGUUUUCAGUUUAAUAUAGGAUACAUGUAUUCAAACAUUUUCUAAUACGUUCUUGGUCAAUUGUAACGUCAUGUGCUGCAUAAUUGUAAAAAGGUCCAAUAUAGAUAUUAGCAAAUAUCAACUAACAAACUGAAGAGAUUGUGCGCCUCUUGCACGUUGAAAUCGUUGAUCGAAGCUUGUUUUAAUGAGGUUUUUUUUGGGGGGGUCAUAAUUAUUAUUUUCAUCUUAUCUGAAAAAAAGAAGUGAAGUCACUGUAAUAGAAAAUAAUGAUUUGUUUUGUACUCUUAUACUAGAUUAAAUCAGACCCAUUUCAGAAAUUAAAAAAAAAAUAUGGUUUUUAAUUUUAGAUUAAUAAACAAUUCAUCUCGAUGUGAAAUAAGAUAUAAUACUCUGUUAACGACCACAGAACAUUUUUAACACCUUAGAAAAAACAAAUAACAUAAAUUAAUUAAAACAUUUUUAAAAGUAAUUCAAGCUAAUUUUAGUACAAUUUUAAUACCCUAACAAAGAUACAAGGUUUAUAAGUAUGAAUGCCAGGAGAGCGUAUCCUCUACAUGACGCUCAAAAAUAGGUGUGAUCAAAUCAUUUAGAAGGCCAAAUCCAAUACGAAGUUGAACAGCAUCAAAAACUAAACAUUUCCGAACAGUUGUGCUAAUUGCACAUAAAACGGUAACACAGUCUAUGUUUACAAAUAAAGCCAAAAAAAUAUUUCUGGGCCUUUUAUAGAUGACUAUGCGUUAUGGGCUCAUUGUUGAAGGUCGUACUGUGACCUAUAGUUGUUAAUUUCUGUGUAAUUUUGGCUCAUUGGCAAUCAAACCACAAUUAUUUUUUUUUAUAUAUACGCAGAUUAGCCUCAUCAGUAUUCAGUGUUCAGAAUAUGCUAUACCAAGGGAGCUUAAAUCCUUGUCCUUUACAAUAACAUGAAUUAUGAAAUUUAAUUUGACAGACAGAAUUAUUAGAUUACUGCCAGGCAAUGUAUUUUGAUUAUUUACAUAAAUUUAACGUAGUUAUCUUUUUUUCUUCCUCUGAAGUUAACGUGUAUGCAGGAUCUUGCUACUACAAACAUAGGGAUCCAACUUACUAUACUUCUACUUAUGAGUACUGCCUUGCUGGCUGUUGUGGCGCCGAUAAACCUGGUGGAUUAAAACAUUGCUGUAAUUCGACAGGGGCUACUAUCGGGAUUGUGAUUGCUAUAGUGGUCUUUGUGGCGUUGGUGCUCACAGCUUUAUACAUGUAUAGACGACGACGACGUAGACUUUUACUCGGUAUACGUAAUGGUAUUCGUUUGAUUGUGUCACUGUCCUUUUCACAACCUGAUCAAUAUGCAGAUCUGCAGAUCCUGCGCCUAAGCUUUGCAUACAAUAACAUAAAACUCCGUUUUUAUUCUGUUCUUGUUACUUUUUCAUCACCCGAUGAAGUUUUCCCUUCAAAAUGUUGAAAAGCAUGUAUCAAUCCAAUAACAAUACAGGAUCCAGAAAGUUAUUUUGAAUAGAGAGUAGAACGGAGAGUUUUCAUAUCCUUUUAUGCAAAAUUUGGAGACAGGAACUGUAUUUAAUUAAAAUUGUCCGUUUGUGCACUUGGUUGGAGGAACAUAUUUAAAGUGUUUUCCGUCCGUUCAACACAUUUGUAAACACUCAGAACUUAUUCAACAAAAACGUCAUGUACGUUUUAUACAAGUUUUUGAAGUUGUAAAAAGAGGCCUUUGUCAAGCCUAAUGACCGUAAUUUGAUUUGACAAUUUCUAUGAAGAUUAUCGGAUUUUUAGUAUGUUAUAACUUGACGCACGUCAUAAUAAUGCAUAAUGUCAAUCAGACUUAUCUGCUUUUAUUCUAGUAUAAACAGGGACUAUUAGUUGUUAAACAUUUAAUUCUUUAUAAUGAUAAUGGGAAAAUUUGUAAAACAAAACUGUUAAUAACUACUCCUGAUUGUUUUUUAAACGAUUUGUUUUUUUCGUAAGUUGAUUUAUAUCAUUUUCUAACUAAGAAUAUAAUUUUCUCAAACUUACUAAAUACCACAACAAACAAAUUACACAUAAAAUCAAAUAAAAAAACUUUAAAUUAAUAUAAAAGGUUAAAUCACUUAAAUAUUAAACUCCGAUUAAAACUCAAAACGGAAAGUCCCUAAUUAAAUGGCAAAAUCAAAUGAUAAAACAUAUCAAACGAACGGACAACAACUGACUUGGUACAUGUAUUUUCAAAUGUAGAAAAUGUUGGAUUGAGCCUGGUUUGAUAGCGCUAAACCUCUCACUUGUAUGACAGUCGCAUAAAAUUCCAUAAAAUUUACAACGAUGCGUAAACAAAACAUAAAUAAUAGGUGAAACAAUCAAAAAAUAGGUACAGCAGUCAUCAUUGUGUCACAAUCUCAAAACAAAAAAGUAUUUUGAAACAAAGCACAAAAGCAUCUAUCAAAUUUAAAAAAAAAACAAAACACAUUCAUUGCUUCGCGUGUUUGACGUCAGAAUAUCAUAUUUAAACAUUUUUGUUUUGUAGCUGGAUCGACAGAACGAGACAGAUUGGUGAUACCAGGUUCUCAGUCAACAGAUGGUCAUACACACUUUCAGAGACAAGCAAAGAAUAUUUACCAGUAAACAGAAACAGAUCCCAGAAAUGUGUGUCCACCAAGAAGUACUAUAUAAAGUCCGUACAACAGACAUAAUACUACUUUGUUAUUAAUAAACUCAUUCUAGAUACUAAGCUUUAAACAUUGUUCGCCAGACGUAUGUUUUGUCUAUAAAACUCAUCAAAUAAAAAAGGUCAAAUAAAGUAUCAAGACGCAAUAUUAUAAAUUUAUAUUUUAAAGACACACUUAGUGUUUUCUAAACUUUAUAUUGUUUCUCUGAUGCUUUUUUCCACUGUUUAGCUCUGUAAUGUUGGUAAUGAUAAAAAAAAUCCGCGAUAACAUGUCUUGUUAAUGGUAAUAAUGAAUAACAAAUAAUGUUUAUUCAAUAAAUUUUAAAUGUGGUUCGUAUGGUGUUUCUCGUUUCUCAAUUUUUUUUAUAGAUUAAAAACGGAAAGUCCCUAAUCAAAUGUCAAAAUCAAACGAUAAAAUACAUCAAACGAAUGGACAGCAAACAGAACUAUUUUCAAUUAGUCAUUUUGUAGCCCAGUUUAAGGCCGUACUUUGGCAUAUAAUUGUUAAAUAAUUAAUUAGUGUGACUUUGAAGGAGAAUGUCUCAUUAAUACCCAUACGACAUCUUCUUAUUAAGGAUUUCAAUAAAAACGAUUCAUGCAAACAUAUCGAGCAAACCUUACAUCUAUUUACAUAUAACACUGUUGAGACAAUCUCUUCAGAAAAUUGUAAAAAAAUAAAAACAAAAACAACAAGAUAACGUCUUUUAACGAAUAAAACAUUUUGGAACUUUUUUUGAAAUCUGAAUAUAAACUUUUACAUCAAAAGACAUACAACCAAACUAUUAAGACAAGUACGACAACCGGUGUUGGAGUUGUUGUCACAGUUAUGUUGAUUUUAGCUGCGUUUUUGCAAACAUUUUAUUGUCAAUCGGAUUUUCAAAAGCGAGGGUGGUUGAAAGUAGUCCGUUAAUUAAACAAAUACGUAGCGCACAUUGAAACUUUUCUGUAGGGUGCUUUAUUCUAGGAGACAGAGUUUACUCAAACUCACCCUGCUUUAUUCGGUCCAUAUUUAAAGAUGUUUAUGUAUUCUUGUUGAAAGUGUGAAUGCUACAUCACCUACAAAACUGAUAGUUACAUAGUUCUUUAAAUUCCUUUCCCAAAGUAAAAAGCAAAAAAUUGGAAAAAUAAAAACCGAAGAAAACAUAUACAGCAUUCCAUAAAAACUAAAGAAAACUUAUUGUUUAUAUAAAUACUAACAAAGAAAAUUAGAACUGCCAUGAGAACAAAAAAUCAAAAAUAAUUAAAAACAUUACAGAACAUCUUUUUUUUUUUUUUUUUUUUUUUGCAAAUAUCUAUUUCAAUGUUUCCCUUUAGAUACCUUCUUGGCUUGAUUUGUUAAGCUAGAAUAUUAAUUAGUUAUGAUGAUUUAAGGUCAAGAAGUAAUCAUUUGGAUUUCAGAGUUGGGGCCGGAUCCGAUAAUGGUUAUUUUUUCAAAUCUAAACUAGAGGCGUUCUCGCCUAGAUUAGUUUUACCACAUGUUUGCGAAAGACCUUCUUCCAUUCUAAAGUUCUAUUUUUACCUUUUUCAUAAAUGUAGUACAAAAAUCGAAAUAAUGUUGUCAUGUUUAUCAAAAUCUUUAUACGAUUUCUGUCCUGCGUCUAAAUAUUUUAUAUUCUUUGCCAUAAUUUAUUGAUCAAUUAGAUUUUCAACGAUUUUAUAUAUCAAGUCAAUAUAAUGUAUCCACGACUAAAAAUGGUCUAUUAAAUUCCAAAAUGUAUAUAUUUCUUAUGUUAAAAAAAUUUCAAUCGGAAGGAGAUCACAGCCUGUCCAUAAUUAUUGAAUAAAUGAAUGCUGCCACUUUUUCUCGUUACAGCAAGUAACGUCAAGUUAGGUCAAUUUUCGUUCGUUCAUAAGAUGUUGAUAAACCUCUUAUCAACUACAUGAUAACAGCUGAUACCCUAUAAUUAUUUAAGUGUCAUAUUAAGGUGUGAUACGAUUAAACCUCUUUCUUAAAUAUAGUUAAAUAUUCAUUUACAUAAAAUUGAUAGGUUAUAUGUAAGGUGUUUAUUAAAACAUGGAAAAUUUUGUGUUGUUAUCAUUAAUUGGUAAGUUAAUUAACUAAUAUGUUGGUUUUUUUUUUUCAUUUUGUUUUACAUUUAAACUCUUAAGGUAGUGUUUUCAGUUCAAUUUGCGGAUACAUGUAUUCAGACAUUUUCUAAUAAAUACUUGUACAAAUUUAACGUCAUGCGCUGCUUUUAAAAUUGUAAAAUGACCCAAAAUGAUUGAUCAUAUAUUUUGUUUAAAUAUUUACAAAUAUCAGAUAAUUUUAAAAGUUAAGAGGUUAUGCGCCUCGUGCAUCUUGAAAUCGUUGAUUGAAGUUUGUAUUUAUUAAUUUUGGUUUUGUUGGUUUUAUUUAAAAAAAAAAAAAGUAGUUACUGGAGUAGAAAAAGAUGAUUUUAUGUACUUUCUACUACCUAAUUGUCAGACCCAUUACAGAAAUUGAAAAAAACAAAAAGCAAACAUGGUUUUUAUUUUCAGAUUAAAAAACAAUUGAUCUCGACGUCAAGUAAGAAAAAAUACAAUGUUAACGACGACAGAACGCUUUUAACACCUUAGACAGUAACAGAAAAAACACAAAUUAAUUAAAACAUUUUAUUGUAUUUAUUAAUUUUUGUACUGUGGUGCAGAAGUAUUAUUUUUAUCUACUAAUAAUUUGAAAAAAAGUGAAGUUUCUGUAAUAGAAAACGGUGAUUUGUUUUGCAUUCUUCUACUAGAUUCAAUGAGACCCAUUUCAAACUAAAAAAUACCAACAAGUAUGUUUCUUCUUAUCAGAUGAACAAACAAUUCAUCAUUAAUUUUUUUUUUUUAUUUAUAAGCAGAUUAGUUUAGUUUAGUUUAAACAUAUUUAAUUAUAGUGGAUUGGGAAACAAGUUUUGCAACUUAUAUUAAUCCCUUUCCACUUUGCGGAUGCGAGUACUGCCUUGUAGCGGCAUUAGCCUGCUCUUUUUCGAAAUCUACAAGGGUGUCUUUAACGUGCAAGAGAUGUGGCUCUCUCUUAACACGGAUCAGCCAUUUAUCGUCCCUUUCUGACGGACUAUCAUCGUUUCCUCAAGACCAUACCCGCAAGCAGAUUAGCCACAUCAAACUAGUAUUCAAAAUAUGUUAGUAUACCAAAGGAGCCUGAAACCUUGUCUAAUACAAUAACAUGAUUAUGAAAUUUAAUUUGACCGACAGAAUUAUUAGAUUACUACCAGGCAAUGCGAUGAUGCAUUUUGAUAGUUUACGUAAAUUUAUCGUAGUUUUUUAUUCUUCCUCUGAAGGUAACGUGUAUGCAGGAUCUUGCUACUACGAACAUACGGAUCCAACUUACUAUACCUCUACUUAUGAGUACUGCCUUGCUGGCUGCUGUGGCGCCGAUAAACUUGGUGGAUUAAAACAUUGCUGUAACUCGACAGGGGCUACUAUCGGGAUUCUGAUUGCUAUAGUGGUCUUCGUGGCGUUGGUGCUCACAGCUUUAUACAUGUAUAGACGACGACGUAGACUUUUACUCG